This 579-nucleotide ribosomal RNA is filed under the name uncultured bacterium. Its description in RNAcentral is "bacterial SSU rRNA". It matches the Rfam family "Bacterial small subunit ribosomal RNA", at positions 338 to 916 of the family's 1533-position model. The record is from RNAcentral.
CCUACGGGAGGCAGCAGUAGGGAAUAUUGGGCAAUGGAGGCAACUCUGACCCAGCCAUGCCGCGUGCAGGAAGACGGUCCUCUGGAUUGUAAACUGCUUUUGAAUGGGAAGAAUGUGCUCCUUGCGAGGGGUAAUGACGGUACCAUUAGAAUAAGCCACGGCUAACUACGUGCCAGCAGCCGCGGUAAUACGUAGGUGGCGAGCGUUAUCCGGAUUUAUUGGGUUUAAAGGGUGCGUAGGCGGCUUAAUAAGUCGGUGGUUAAAAGUAGCAGCUUAACUGUUUUACAUGCCAUCGAUACUGUUGAGCUUGAGAUAUUUGGAGGCAGCUAGAAUUUCCGGUGUAGCGGUGAAAUGCAUAGAUACCGGAAGGAAUACCAAUUGCGAAGGCAGGUUGCUACGAAUAAACUGACGCUGAUGCACGAAAGCGUGGGGAUCAAACAGGAUUAGAUACCCUGGUAGUCCACGCCGUAAACGAUGAUUACUAGUUGUUGGGGUUUAAGCCUCAGUGACCAAGGGAAACCGAUAAGUAAUCCACCUGGGGAGUACGCCGGCAACGGUGAAACUUAAAUGAAUUGACGG